Molecule: ribosomal RNA, 474 nt
Filed under: uncultured bacterium
Lineage: Bacteria
Description: bacterial SSU rRNA
Rfam family: Bacterial small subunit ribosomal RNA
Source: RNAcentral
CAGCAGUUUCGAAUCAUUCACAAUGGGCGAAAGCCUGAUGGUGCGACGCCGCGUGGGGGAUGAAGGUCUUUGGAUUGUAAACCCCUGUCACCGGGGAAGAAACGUUUCAAGUUAACAGCUUGAAACCUGACAUAACCCGGAGAGGAAGCAGUGGCUAACUCUGUGCCAGCAGCCGCGGUAAUACAGAGACUGCAAGCGUUAUUCGGAUUCACUGGGCGUAAAGGGUGCGCAGGCGGCCGUGUGUGUUAGGCGUGAAAGCCCGAGGCUCAACCUCGGAAUUGCACCUAAAACUACACGGCUAGAGUACUGGAGAGGGUAGCGGAAUUCACGGUGUAGCAGUGAAAUGCGUAGAUAUCGUGAGGAACACCAAUGGCGAAGGCAGCUACCUGGACAGUAACUGACGCUCAGGCCGACGAAAGCGUGGGGGAGCGAAAAGGAUUAGAUACCCCUGUACGUCCACGCCCUAAACGGUGC